Molecule: ribosomal RNA, 253 nt
Filed under: uncultured bacterium
Lineage: Bacteria
Description: partial 16S ribosomal RNA
Rfam family: Bacterial small subunit ribosomal RNA
Source: RNAcentral
UACGUAGGGUGCAAGCGUUAAUCGGAAUUACUGGGCGUGAAGCGUGCGCAGGCGGUUAUGUAAGUCAGGUGUGAAAUCCCCGGGCUCAACCUGGGAACUGCAUCUGUGACUGCAUAGCUAGAGUACGGUAGAGGGGGAUGGAAUUCCGCGUGUAGCAGUGAAAUGCGUAGAUAUGCGGAGGAACACCGAUGGCGAAGGCAAUCCCCUGGACCUGUACUGACGCUCAUGCACGAAAGCGUGGGGAGCAAACAGG